Molecule: unclassified non-coding RNA, 402 nt
Filed under: uncultured fungus
Lineage: Eukaryota; Fungi
Description: sequence contains ITS2
Rfam family: 5.8S ribosomal RNA (bases 1-154)
Source: RNAcentral
AACUUUCAGCAAUGGAUCACUUGGUUCUGGCAUCGAUGAAGAACGCAGCGAAAUGCGAUAAGUAAUGUGAAUUGCAUAAUUCAGUGAAUCAGCGAAUCUUUGAACGCACAUUGCGCCCGCCAGGAUUCUGGCGGGCAUGCCUGUUCGAGCGUCAUUUCAACCCUCAAGCCCCAGCGGCCUGGUGUUGGGGACCGGCGACCUCGCUGACGCCCUUCUUGGGCCCAGCCUCCGCCGCCCCCGAAAUGAAUUGGCGGUCUCGUCGCGGCCUCCUCUGCGUAGUAGCACAACCUCGCAACAGGAGCGCGACGCGGCCACUGCCGUAAAACGCCCAACUUUUUUCGAGUCGACCUCGGAUCAGGUAGGAAUACCCGCUGAACUUAAGCAUAUCAAUAAGCGGAGGCU